GGAGCGGUGUCCGAGCGGUUGAUGGAUCUGGUCUUGAAAACCAGCGAACUCGUAAGGGUUCCGGGGGUUCGAAUCCCCCCUGCUCCG
This 87-nucleotide transfer RNA is filed under the name Spirochaetaceae bacterium. RNAcentral describes it as "tRNA-Ser". It matches the Rfam family "tRNA". Rfam says of the family: Transfer RNA (tRNA) molecules are approximately 80 nucleotides in length. Their secondary structure includes four short double-helical elements and three loops (D, anti-codon, and T loops). The record is from RNAcentral. Lineage: Bacteria; Pseudomonadati; Spirochaetota; Spirochaetia; Spirochaetales; Spirochaetaceae.